Molecule: RNA transcript, 2679 nt
Organism: Daphnia magna
Lineage: Eukaryota; Metazoa; Arthropoda; Branchiopoda; Diplostraca; Daphniidae
Gene name: DNA repair and recombination protein RAD54B-like
Exons: 6
Source: RefSeq, a predicted model, not a curated record
GUUCUGCUGCUGAUAAAGAACUCUGAAAUGGGAGAAAUUGAAAAUAAAAACAACGUUACUCGGUUCAAGUGGGACAUUGUAAAUCAAGGAUACAAGAUAUGCAUCUUUGAGCACGUUUUCUUUCAAAAAGAGAAGAAACAUCAAAAACCUCAGUUGAUUUAAGGCAUUCUAACUGAGCAAUUGUGGUGAUAAUGGAUGCAUCCCUGCGGGUUAUUUCCAACUCAAGCCAUCUAAUCCAGGCAAGAACUACCUUAUGGACAGAUUGAAUUGUGUGGCAGCCUUUGAGAGCCUGAUCACAUGCUGAAUUUAUUUAGCUAAUUUUAAAUUCAAGAUUCUGUGAACGAUUAUUGUAAACAUCAAGAUAGUUGAAAGUUUUAUGUUUCUCGUGCUUUCACAAAUCAAAAGCCGUAAAAUUACAGUCUAUGCACCAAAGCUGUUUUUUCCUAAAAGAGGGGCAGAAACAUUGAAAAGAAAAGAGAAAACAUUUUAUGCUGAAUAAUUUUCCGACACUUACUUGUUUUCAAUAGCUCUUGCCUGAGAGGAUUCUACUACUUUCAAAAGGCGUAAGGCAACAUGGUUAGUGACUAAUUGUUCACAUUUCUUCCUUGAAAGGGUUGAAUUCAACCUACAGACAUGGCAUGCUACUUUAUUUCUGCCAUUAGGCCAAGUUAAAUCCUUAAAAUCAAUUGACAUGUAAAUGUACAAUAAAGCACUGUGAGUAUUUGGAGGAAUGUAGCACCUUGGUCAUUAAAAAUGUCACCUAAGUCAUCACUUUUAGUUAUAUUACCUUAAAAUAGCUAAGACAGUAUAGGCUGCCAGAAAGCCAGCCACAAACGACGACAUCAUCGAAUACGAUAUUCGUUAAGAUAAGACGACUGAAGCCUAGCGUCCAGUAGUCGUAAUACCUACGAACAUAGGUAUAACACUAGCCUCCGCCAGAUGGAACAUGGCUUCUAUCCUCAACACUUUGGUUGUUACAGCAUUUGUAAUGCUAGGGCACUCCUAGUUCAUUAUUGCGCUAUACUACUACUAUUAUUGCGCUGCAUUUUGGCAAAAGCUCGAAACAAACUUUGAUUACCGACUGAUGGUAUAGGCACCUUCUUUUCACUCUCAGCUUUCCUGUAUUCAAAAGUGCCCUGAUUGUUGCGAUGCGUGAUUGUGACCAUAAUCACAACUGUAAAGAGCCUCAGGAAAAAGCACCAAUCUUUUUUUUAAAGAAGAGACAACCUCUCUCACUGAUGUUCUCGAGAAUACUGGCAUUUGAUGGCGGAUGUAAAUUAGCCCCAGGAUUCUACUGAUCGAGGAGAAGGAGCUCAAAUAACCCAAAGAUGAAAUAACCUAGCCAAAAGCUAGGUUCAGAAAUCAAAUUGUAAUUUUCUCUUUGUGCUUCGUUGGCAAAGGCAGAGUGAGGUCGAUUGAAUUUGAUUCAGCGCUGUAACGAUUCGUCUUUAUUCCAUUUUACUUUUCUCGUUAUCCCUACAUUUACUUUGACACGAGUAAUUGAAAUUUCAUUCGUCCUCGUAUUCUCUGAAGUCAUCGAGGAAGUCUUUGAGGUAGACUACGUCGCGAGAGAACCGCAUGGAAAAGAGACCAAACUUGAUGAAUUUAUUCAAAAGAAAAUUUAUUCAGAAAAAAACCCAAAUCAUCGUACGGCAAACCUAAAAAAGAAAAGAAACCUGACUCGUCCUACGGUAGAAAAUAGAACUUCGGUUCAGCUGCAAGAUGUUUUUUUUGGUGGGGUUUUUUAAAGACCGAGUCCUGUUGAUGAUUGACCUGUUUUGUUAUACGCUGGAUAACAAAUUGUAUUAGAAUUUUCUUAACUUCUUGUUAAGCAAGAAUUUGCGUCCUGGCCAUUGCGAUGGUGUAGUUUUCUUGUACGAAUGCUUGGUGGUUUUUCAAAAUUCCAAACAUGUUGGUGCUAUCCUAGCCGAUGAAAUGGGAUUGGGUCAAACACUGCAAUGCAUCACACUCAUAUGGAUUCUUCUCAGCAAGGCCCUUACAAUGGACGUCCAACCAUUCAGCGUGUUUUAAUCAUUACGCCAUCAAGCCUAGUAAAAAAAUGGGAAAAGGAAUUUCGUUGUUGGUUAGGCAGAGAAAGGAUAUACGUUUUUACUGCAGAUCAAUAAACUAAGCCAAUAGAAUUCUUGAAACGCCCGCUUUGUCCAGUCAUGAUGGUUUCUUACAAAAUGCUAGUCCGCUGCUUUGACGAAGUAGGCCUACAACCAUUUAAUUUCGAUCUUGUAGUCUGCGAUAAAGUACAUCGACUGAAGAAUGCUGCCAAUAAAACGUCGUCAUUGUUGUCACCACUAAACACGAACAGAAAAGUGCUAUUGACUGGAACCCCUGUACAGAAUGAUUUGAAAGAGUUUUUCACGUUAGCCGAUUUCGUCAAUUCUUGCAUUUUAGGAAGCCUUUCCGCAUUCCGGCGAAUCUUUGAAGAGCCAAUCGUCGCGCUUCAGCAACCUGAGUGCGAUGAAGAUACAAGAGAAAUAGGUGAAGGCUGUGCAUCUGAGCUAGCUCACCUAAUAUCACAGUUCGUUCUACGUCGUACACAGGAAGUCAUGAACGCUCAUCUUCCUCCAAGAGUCGAGAGCGUCAUCUUUUGUAAACCAAUAUAUAUUCAAGUAACGGAUUUUAUCCAAAUUAAACAUUUAAAUCGUCUAUUUUGUGCUUAAAGAU